UACAGUCGAGUCAAAUUCAGUCCCUGUUCCUGCCGUAGCAGAGGUUGACCCAUGUGGCUACCCCAGCGAGCUCUGCAGCUCUCUGACCUGGGGCCUGGAGAUAAGUUUGGCUGCAGACAUUG
Small nucleolar RNA from Choloepus hoffmanni (Hoffmann's two-fingered sloth), 122 nucleotides. Lineage: Eukaryota; Metazoa; Chordata; Mammalia; Pilosa; Megalonychidae. The record is from Ensembl.